GGCAUGGCUCGGUGGUUAAGAGCAUCUGCCUAGUAAGCAGAAGUGGGGUGCCAGAGUUCAAAUCCCAGUACUGCCA
This 76-nucleotide transfer RNA is filed under the name Dipodomys ordii (Ord's kangaroo rat). It matches the Rfam family "tRNA". Rfam says of the family: Transfer RNA (tRNA) molecules are approximately 80 nucleotides in length. Their secondary structure includes four short double-helical elements and three loops (D, anti-codon, and T loops). Further hydrogen bonds mediate the characteristic L-shaped molecular structure. tRNAs have two regions of fundamental functional importance: the anti-codon, which is responsible for specific mRNA codon recognition, and the 3' end, to which the tRNAs corresponding amino acid is attached (by aminoacyl-tRNA synthetases). tRNAs cope with the degeneracy of the genetic code in two manners: having more than one tRNA (with a specific anti-codon) for a particular amino acid; and 'wobble' base-pairing, i.e. permitting non-standard base-pairing at the 3rd anti-codon position. The record is from Rfam by way of RNAcentral. Lineage: Eukaryota; Metazoa; Chordata; Mammalia; Rodentia; Heteromyidae.